CGCGGGAUGGAGCAGUCUGGUAGCUCGUCGGGCUCAUAACCCGAAGAUCCGGCUCCCGCAA
RNAcentral lists this transfer RNA (61 nucleotides) under Marinomonas foliarum. RNAcentral's name for it is "tRNA-Met". The record is from RNAcentral. Lineage: Bacteria; Pseudomonadati; Pseudomonadota; Gammaproteobacteria; Oceanospirillales; Oceanospirillaceae.